RNAcentral lists this ribosomal RNA (1146 nucleotides) under Lactobacillus sp. Shuhaimi Yazid-1. RNAcentral describes it as "bacterial SSU rRNA". It matches the Rfam family "Bacterial small subunit ribosomal RNA", at positions 42 to 1133 of the family's 1533-position model. The record is from RNAcentral. Lineage: Bacteria; Bacillati; Bacillota; Bacilli; Lactobacillales; Lactobacillaceae.
GNNNGCUAAUACAUGCAAGUCGAGCGAGCAAUUUUAACGGAAGGCCUUCGGGCUGGAAGCUAAAAGCGCGAGCGGCGGAUGGGUGAGUAACACGUGGGCAACCUGCCCUUUAGCUUGGGAUACCACUUGGAAACAGGUGCUAAUACCAAAUAAGAAGCAAGAGCGCAUGCUCAAGCUAUGAAAGGCGGCUUUCGAGCUGUCACUAAAGGAUGGGCCCGCGGUGCAUUAGCUAGUUGGUAAGGUAACGGCUUACCAAGGCAAUGAUGCAUAGCCGAGUUGAGAGACUGAUCGGCCACAUUGGGACUGAGACACGGCCCAAACUCCUACGGGAGGCAGCAGUAGGGAAUCUUCCACAAUGGACGCAAGUCUGAUGGAGCAACGCCGCGUGAGUGAAGAAGGUUUUCGGAUCGUAAAGCUCUGUUGUUGGUGAAGAAGGAUGUGAAUAGUAACUGAUUCAUAUUUGACGGUAAUCAACCAGAAAGUCACGGCUAACUACGUGCCAGCAGCCGCGGUAAUACGUAGGUGGCAAGCGUUGUCCGGAUUUAUUGGGCGUAAAGCGAACGCAGGCGGGAGAACAAGUCAGCUGUGAAAGCCCUCGGCUUAACCGGGGAAGUGCAGCUGAAACUGUUUUUCUUGAGUGCAGAAGAGGAGAGUGGAACUCCAUGUGUAGCGGUGGAAUGCGUAGAUAUAUGGAAGAACACCAGUGGCGAAGGCGGCUCUCUGGUCUGUAACUGACGCUGAGGUUCGAAAGCAUGGGUAGCGAACAGGAUUAGAUACCCUGGUAGUCCAUGCCGUAAACGAUGAGUGCUAAGUGUUGGGAGGUUUCCGCCUCUCAGUGCUGCAGCUAACGCAUUAAGCACUCCGCCUGGGGAGUACGACCGCAAGGUUAAAACUCAAAGGAAUUGACGGGGGCCCGCACAAGCGGUGGAGCAUGUGGUUUUAAUUCGAACCAACCGACGAAUAACCUUACCAGGUCCUUGACAUCUAGUUGCCAGUUCCUAGAGAUAGGGAUGUUUCCCCUUCGGGGACACUAAAAACAGGGUGGGUGCAUGGCUGGUCGUCAGCUUCGUGUCGUGAGAUGUUUGGUGUUUUAAGUUCUCCGNNACNAGNCGNNAACNCCNUUAUUUNNUNCANNUUGGGCCCNAG